GACAGAGGUGCCGAGCGUUAGGCGGAAUCACUGGGCUUAAAGCGUGUGUAGGCGGACCCAUAAGUACCUUGUGAAAUCCCACGGCUCAACCGUGGAACGGCUGGGUAUACUGCGGGUCUUGAGCAACCUAGGGGCAGACGGAACAAGUGGUGGAGCGGUGAAAUGCGUAGAUAUCACUUGGAACGCCGACGGUGAAAACAGCUCGCUGGGGGUUUGCAGACGCUGAGACACGAAAGCCAGGGGAGCGAACGGG
This 253-nucleotide ribosomal RNA is filed under the name uncultured bacterium. RNAcentral's name for it is "partial 16S ribosomal RNA". It matches the Rfam family "Bacterial small subunit ribosomal RNA", at positions 524 to 776 of the family's 1533-position model. The record is from RNAcentral.